UAAAAACUAAAUACAAGGUUAGAUUCAGCAUAUCAUAGAACCCCAAGAAAUCAAUUUUUGAUGAAAUCAAAUAAUGUUCAAUUUCAGACCCUUUAGACCUCAAUGUGGACCAAUUUGAUAACCAGGCCCAAAUAUUAACUAGAGGCUCUUAAGAGCCUGUGUCGCUCAACCUUGGUCUAUGUGCAUAUUAAACAAAGGACACAGAUGGAUUCAUGACAAAAUUGUGUUUUGGUGAUGGUGAUGUGUGAUUGUAGAUCUUACUUUACUGAACAUUCUUGCUUCUUACAAUUAUCUCAAUUUAUAAUGAACUUAGCCCAUUAAUUACAGAGGAAAAUAUUUUGUUAAAAUUUACAAAAUUUACAAAAUUAUUUAAAAUUUACUAUAAAGGGCAAUAACUCUUUAAGUGGUCAAUUGACCUUUGGUCAUGUUGACUUAUUUGUGGGUCUUACUUUGCUGAACAUUAAUGCUGUUUACAGUUUAUCUCUAUCUAUAAUAAUAUUCAAGAUAAUAACCAAAAACAGCAAAAUUUCCUUAAAAAUUUCCAAUUCAGGGGCAGCAACCCAACAACAGGUUGUCCGAUUCGUCUGAAAAUAUCAGGGCAGACAGAUCUUUACCUAAUAAACAAUUUUACCCCAUGUCAGAUUUGCCCUUUGGGCCAGGUGAGCUAAAAAUCUAAAUACAUGGUUAAAUUCAGCAUAUUGAAGAACCCCAUAAAUUCAAUUUUUGUUGAAAUCAAACAAUGUUUUAUUUUGGACCCCAAUUUGGACCAACUUGAAAACUGGGCCCAUAAUCAAAAAUCUAAGUACAUGUUUAGAUUCAGCAUAUCAAAGAACCCCAAGAAUCCUUUUUUGUUAAAAUCAAACUAAGUUUAAUUUUGGACCCUUUUGGCCCCUUAUUCCUAAACUGUUCGGACCAAAACUCCCAAAAUCAAUCCCAACCUUCCUUUUGUGGUCAUAAACCUUGUGUUAAAAUUUCAUAGAUUUCUAUUUACUUAUACUAAAGUUAUUGUGCAAAAACCAAGAAAAAUGCUUAUUUGGGACUUUUUUUUGGCCGGUAAUUCCUAAACUAUUGGGACCAAAACUCACAAAAUCAAUCCAAACCUUCCUUUCAUGGUCAUAAACCUUAUGUUAAAAUUUCAUAGAGUUCUGUUUACUUAUAUUAAAGAAUUGUGCAAAAACCAAGAAAAAUGCUUAUUUGGGCCCUUUUUGGCCCCUAAUUCCUAAACUGUUGGGACCAAAACUCCCAAAAUCAAUCCCAACCUUCCUUUUAUGGUCAUAAACCUUGCAUUUAAAUUUCAUAGAAAACCAAAUGUAUUCAGACGACAACAACUACGCCAACGUCAUACCAAUAUACGACCAAAAAUUUUUCAAUUUUUGCGGUUGUAUAAAAAUGGCAAAAUUUCCUUAAAAUUACCAAUUCAGGGGUUCAAUUCAACCGGUUGUCCGAUUCAUCUGACAAUUUCAAGGCAGAUGGAUCUUGACUUGUUAAACAGUUUUAUCCCAUGUCAGAUUUGCUCUAAAUGCUUUGGUUUCAGAGUUUGGUUAAAUUUGACCCAGUAGUUUCAGAAGAGAAGAAUUUUGUAAAAGUUAACAGACGACGCCGGACGAGGACGACGGACUCAAAGUGAUGAGAAGAGCUGACUUGGCCCAUCGAGCCAGGUGAGCUAAUAAAAAGGAAAACAAUCAGAAUUAAAAUAUAACUUUAUAUACAUAGACAAUAACUGUUUAGUGUCUUUAAAUAUCAGCUGUAUUUGUACGAGGCUAGGAAACAAGGUGUAUGCAAGCUUUUAGCGAGCUACUACACCUGUUUCGAGCCGAGUACAAAUACAGCUGAUAUUUAAAGACACUAAACAGUUAUUGUCUUUAUCCUGCAAUUAAUUCUGUAUAUUGUUUCUGUUUUGAAAGACACAAAAACUAACAUUUAUUUUCGAUUUGUAAUCCCUUGAGGCCCGCGUAGUAAUAUCAAAAUUACACAUUACGCUGAAGAGGGGUUCGCAAAAAAGAAUCUUGAAUGGUCAACAAUAACACAUUGCUCAAGGUGAAUAAUUAUCUAUUUUAACACAACAACUAAUUUCAACAGUAAAAACAAAUAACAAAACAUUGUCAAAUUUGAAACAAAAGUGUACGAGUUGUCCUAAGCUUCAGACUAGACAUUCACUAAACAUGCAUGCUGAAAUUGACAUGGUUGAUUUUGUAACACAAUCAUACACAUUCAAGUUUUGAAAUCGACAAUUGUCAUCGUCAUUGGAAUGCAACUGGAAUACACAUUCUGAGGUCACACAGGUUCAAACAAUACUCAGUCUGACAGUGGGCGGAGCUUUAAAGCCAUAUCUGUAUAGUAUACAGAUACAGCAUAGCGAUAUCUGUAGGGCUGUAUCUGUAUAGUAGGACACCCAAUUGCAGGAUCAAACGUAAUCUCUUACAUCUAAAUGUUUAUUUUAUAAAGGGAAAUAUAGAGUUUCAUCAUCUUAUCAUCAUAACUUAGGCAUUCAACUUUUUGGUAACUAAUUUAUCUUUUUUUUAUUAACUUGCAUCACAGCCAAAAUAAUCCAAAAUAUUACCACAGCCAAAAUAUCCCAAUUUACAGUACUGUUAAUUCAGAAAUUAUUGCAAGAUUAUUAUUAUUGCGAAAAAUGUGACAGAGUUGUAAUCACAAUAACUUAAACUCGCAUUUUGAAAUAUUCUAUAUAAAUUAAACAGGAUUUUUCUCAAAAUCGUAAAAAUUAAAAUUGCAUUUAGUUCAAAAUGACAAAAUCGCAAUA
RNAcentral lists this long non-coding RNA (2761 nucleotides) under Mytilus galloprovincialis (Mediterranean mussel). The record is from RNAcentral. Lineage: Eukaryota; Metazoa; Mollusca; Bivalvia; Mytilida; Mytilidae.